Molecule: transfer RNA, 86 nt
Filed under: Ignavibacteria bacterium
Lineage: Bacteria; Pseudomonadati; Ignavibacteriota; Ignavibacteria
Also listed under: 1 other name
Description: tRNA-Leu
Rfam family: tRNA
About the family: Transfer RNA (tRNA) molecules are approximately 80 nucleotides in length. Their secondary structure includes four short double-helical elements and three loops (D, anti-codon, and T loops).
Source: RNAcentral
GGGCACGUGGCGGAAUAGGCAGACGCGCUAGCCUUAGGAGCUAGUGGGGAAAACCCGUGGGGGUUCAAGUCCCUCCGUGCCCACCA